RNAcentral lists this ribosomal RNA (455 nucleotides) under Ommastrephes brevimanus. Its description in RNAcentral is "partial 16S ribosomal RNA". It matches the Rfam family "Bacterial large subunit ribosomal RNA", at positions 1853 to 2569 of the family's 2925-position model. Lineage: Eukaryota; Metazoa; Mollusca; Cephalopoda; Oegopsida; Ommastrephidae. The record is from RNAcentral.
UCGGGCCUGCUCGGUGAAUAAGUUUUUAACAGCUGCGGUAUUUUAACUGUACUAAGGUAGCAUAAUAAUUUGCCUUAUAAUUUGAGGCUAGAAUGAAUGGUUUGACGAAGGUUAAUCUGUCUCCAUCUUAUUUUUUAGAAGUUAAUUUUUAAAGUGAAAAAGCUUAAAUCUUUCAAAGGGACGAGAAGACCCUAAUGAGCUUAUAAUUUUAUUAUCAUUAUUUAAAACAUUUAGGUGGUGGUAUAUAAAUUUUAAUUGGGGUGAUUAAGGAAUAAAUUGUGUAUAGUAACUUCCUUAAAUUAGGUAUUUGUAGAUAAAGUAACCAAUGUAAUAUUGCUUAUAGUAUAGUUACCAUAGGGAUAACAGCGUAAUUUGUUUAGAGAGUUCUUAUUGAAAAACGAGAUUGCGACCUCGAUGUUGGAUUAAAGUAACCCUAAGGUGCAGAAGCUUUAGUA